ACCUCAGCCUCCCAAAGUGCUGGGAUUACAGGCAUGAGCCACCACACCAGGCUGAGGCUCUGCGUUUCUAACAAGCUGUCUGGUGACUACAGUGUGAGUGUGGGAACAGUGCUUUGAAAAGCCAGGCUUGAGAUGCCCCCUUACAGCCUGCAAGUGAUGUCCCUGCCUGCCUUGUGUUUGUGUGUGAUUAUAUUUGACCUAAGUUGUGCUGCUAUCAUUGUCACAGCUGAAAAGGGAUGAAGACAGCCAACUAUUAUGUGGCAGCCUUCUGGUUACCAAGAACAUGCACAAUUGUCAGAGCGGAAUCCAUGAGAUAGAAUUUAUGGGCACACAUACUUGGUGGACCAGAACUGGGAGCUGCGUGCCAUCAGCACUCCCUGUCUCUGCUCAUCCUUUCUUUCUGCUGCCUGGGCCUAACUUCUCUGGGCACAGGCUUUCUCCAGCAUCUUAGACUAAACACCAGCUAGAAUGUGGAGUUAGGCAAUCAAGUGUGAAACUUAACUUGUACUUGUCUUAGAAGCAGCAAAGGCAGCUGGGCCAGCUGAUAGACAAGGAACGCUGUCCUCCCAGAACCAGCCACGGGUGCAGAUGAUGGGCACUGCGGAGCCUGCUGUCUUACAGAAGCUGAUCCUGGAGGGUGCCUUUCAAUCCUCGAUGUCAGGAGGUUUUCUUUUAGAAAACAAUCUGAUUCAGAAUAAUGACUGCAAUUUUUCACUGGAUGGAAAACAAGUCUAGAGGAAUUGACCCUUAUUUUAAGUUCAAAGAUAGUAUAUCCUUGUUACUACUGUUACAUGUUUUAUAGCCAAUCUUCAAGACCACCUCUGGGCAAUGAAGUUAUUUGUGAUGGAAACACUUAGGUUCUUGAUUAAGUGAAUAUUAAAAAAAAAUCACUAUCAGAGAAAAGUAUACCUGAUACAAUGACUAGAACUGAAAAAUUAUGAACAAAUAGCAAAACAAUUAGUACUAUUUGACAAAAAGAAGUAAUCACCAAUAUAAAACUUUGGUAUGAUGUUCUAAACAUACGAAUAUCCACUUUUUAGCCAAACAUAAUGAUGCUUCUUUUGACACUGACUAUCCAACAUUUCUUGAGAAGAGUGGAUAGUUUCUAAGUCUAGAAGACAUGAUUUUGGAAUUUGAAGCUAGAAUGUCUGAACAUGUAGUACAGAUUAAAAAAAAACAAAUUAAAACUAUCUAGAAUGGCAAAAUAAAAAUGAAAUUAUCUUUUAAUGCAUAAUGAAGUGAGAGAAAAAAUUACAAUAAAAUAAUUUUUAAAGUUUUUUUCUAAAUUGAAAGAUAUUUCAUGUGAUACAUCUAAAGUAACAUAGCUGUAAAAUAUAAGGACAUUAGAAAAAGGAAAUGGAAAUAUUUGCAUUACUAUGAAGCUUCCUGUACAAAUAAUUCCAAAACUAAUGUAUAUAGAUACUAUUUUCUCACCAUUAUAUACUGAGAUGUCUUAAUCAUAGGUUUUCUAUGAAAUAUUUCAGCAAAGAAAAAUUUGAAAAAAUUUAUAAGUAUUGUGUGGGUUCAGGCAUUUCUUUUUCUUUCUCU
This 1548-nucleotide long non-coding RNA is filed under the name Homo sapiens (human). RNAcentral's name for it is "HSALNT0346726". Lineage: Eukaryota; Metazoa; Chordata; Mammalia; Primates; Hominidae. The record is from RNAcentral.